UACGAAGGGGGCUAGCGUUGUUCGGAAUUACUGGGCGUAAAGCGUUUGUAGGCGGUUAUACAAGUCAGAUGUGAAAUCCUGGGGCUCAACCUCAGAAUUGCAUUUGAAACUGUAUAGCUAGAGAAUGUUAGAGGAAAGUGGAAUUCCUAGUGUAGGAGUGAAAUCCGUAGAGAUUAGGAGGAAUAUCGAUGGCGAAGGCAGCUUUCUGGGACAUUUCUGACGCUGAGAAACGAAAGCGUGGGUAGCAAACAGG
Molecule: ribosomal RNA, 253 nt
Filed under: uncultured bacterium
Lineage: Bacteria
Description: partial 16S ribosomal RNA
Rfam family: Bacterial small subunit ribosomal RNA
Source: RNAcentral